AACGCACCUUGCGCUCCCUGGUAUUCCGGGGAGCAUGCCCGUUUCAGUACCAUUAAAUUCUCACAAGCUCUCUUUGCUUUGUAAUGAAGUAAUUUGAGCAGGUGGAUAUGGGCAGCUUUUGCAUGACACUUUCGGGUGUGUGUUGCAAAUCGCCUGGAAUUCAUUUGCGUGCUGCAGUUCGGCUCUUUUGCCGGUCAAUCAAGUGCAACAGAUUUUUCUAUUCGCUUGACCACGGUAAUGUGUAGCAGUGCUGCUCGGUAGGCAGAAUACAAUUAUACCAGCUGUAGUUCUUUUGGAGCUGCAUCUGUUUAACUUGGUCUGAAAUCGGGUAAGAAAACCCGCUGAACUUAA
Molecule: unclassified non-coding RNA, 351 nt
Filed under: uncultured Kochiomyces
Lineage: Eukaryota; Fungi; Chytridiomycota; Chytridiomycetes; Spizellomycetales; Spizellomycetaceae
Description: sequence contains ITS2
Source: RNAcentral